RNAcentral lists this ribosomal RNA (836 nucleotides) under Salmonella enterica. Its description in RNAcentral is "partial 23S ribosomal RNA". It matches the Rfam family "Bacterial large subunit ribosomal RNA", at positions 1 to 731 of the family's 2925-position model. Lineage: Bacteria; Pseudomonadati; Pseudomonadota; Gammaproteobacteria; Enterobacterales; Enterobacteriaceae. The record is from RNAcentral. RNAcentral also lists the same sequence under 1 other name.
GGGUUGUGAGGUUAAGCGACUAAGCGUACACGGUGGAUGCCCUGGCAGUCAGAGGCGAUGAAGGGCGUGCUAAUCUGCGAUAAGCGCCGGUAAGGUGAUAUGAACCGUUAUAACCGGCGAUACCCGAAUGGGGAAACCCAGUGUGACUCGUCACACUAUCAUUAACUGAAUCCAUAGGUUAAUGAGGCGAACCGGGGGAACUGAAACAUCUAAGUACCCCGAGGAAAAGAAAUCAACCGAGAUUCCCCCAGUAGCGGCGAGCGAACGGGGAGGAGCCCAGAGCCUGAAUCAGCAUGUGUGUUAGUGGAAGCGUCUGGAAAGGCGCGCGAUACAGGGUGACAGCCCCGUACACAAAAGCGCAUGUGCUGUGAGCUCGAUGAGUAGGGCGGGACACGUGGUAUCCUGUCUGAAUAUGGGGGGACCAUCCUCCAAGGCUAAAUACUCCUGACUGACCGAUAGUGAACCAGUACCGUGAGGGAAAGGCGAAAAGAACCCCGGCGAGGGGAGUGAAAAAGAACCUGAAACCGUGUACGUACAAGCAGUGGGAGCCCCACCACCAAAGCAUUUGCUGUACCGCGUUGACGGAGCGAAGCGACGUCAAACCGAUAAAACAGCAGUGUAAAGUGAGCCGCAGGGCGCUUUGCGCGACAGCGCAAAGGCAGGCGGUUUCGCGUAGCGAAAGCGAAUGCUUUGGGGUGGGGUGACUGCGUACCUUUUGUAUAAUGGGUCAGCGACUUAUAUUCUGUAGCAAGGUUAACCGAAUAGGGGAGCCGGAGGGAAACCGAGUCUUAAUUGGGCGUUAAGUUGCAGGGUAUAGACCCGAAACCCGGUGAUCU